Mustela putorius furo (domestic ferret) is the source of this 107-nucleotide small nuclear RNA. The record is from Ensembl. Lineage: Eukaryota; Metazoa; Chordata; Mammalia; Carnivora; Mustelidae.
AUAUUCACUUCAUUAGCACAUAUACUAAAAUUGGAACAAGACAGAGAAGAUUAGCAUGGCCCUUGUGCAAGGAUGACACACAAAUUUGUAAAGAGGUCCAUAUUUAA